AACGAACGCUGGCGGCAUGCCUAACACAUGCGAGUCGAACGAGACCUUCGGGUCUAGUGGCGCACGGGUGCGUAACGCGUGGGAACCUGCCCUUAGGUUCGGAAUAACUCCCCGAAAGGGGUGCUAAUACCGGAUAAUGUCUUCGGACCAAAGAUUUAUCGCCUUUGGAUGGGCCCGCGUUGGAUUAGCUAGUUGGUAGGGUAAAAGCCUACCACGGCGACGAUCCAUAGCUGGUCUGAGAGGAUGAUUAGCCACACUGGGGCUGAGACACGGCCCAGACUCCUACGGGAGGCAGCAGUGGAGAAUAUUGGACAAUGGGCGAAAGCCUGAUCCAGCAAUGCCGCGUGAGUGAUGAAGGCCUUAGGGUUGUAAAGCUCUUUUACCCGGGAUGAUAAUGACAGUACCGGGAGAAUAAGCUCCGGCUAACUCCGUG
RNAcentral lists this ribosomal RNA (433 nucleotides) under uncultured bacterium. RNAcentral's name for it is "partial 16S ribosomal RNA". It matches the Rfam family "Bacterial small subunit ribosomal RNA", at positions 29 to 507 of the family's 1533-position model. The record is from RNAcentral.